UAUGGAAAACUGAGUGUGUUGAACAGGGUUUCCUUAAGUACGUAAACAUGGUUUAAUUAUGUGGGUUCUGAAAAAGGAUAGCAGCCUCCUAUCAAGAUGUGUCCUUCUGUUUUCCUUCACUGUCCGGCCAGCCUGUAACCCCCUCACCUGUCUGGACAGGAAGGAGGCCCAUGGUCUGGUCGGUCUGAGGCCAUGGCUGGCCCUCCUUUGGCUGAGGCUUAGCCCCUAGAACCCUCUGAACUGUUACUUUUGUAAGAGAAUGUAAACGGCGAGGCAAAAAUGAGUAAUGUCAGUAGUAUGUAUGGUUUGGGGUCAAGGGAUUUCAUUUUUGCUUCUGUGAAAAGAGUUUUCUAGGAACUCAAGGAGUUCAAAGGACUCAUCUGAGUCUGGUAGUUUGGGAUUUCAUGCAGGAGUUUCCUAUAAAAGUCCCCAAAUUUCUACCUGGAGCAUGGGAUGUGUAUCCCAUCAU
RNAcentral lists this long non-coding RNA (469 nucleotides) under Bos taurus (domestic cattle). RNAcentral describes it as "long non-coding RNA NONBTAT026352". Lineage: Eukaryota; Metazoa; Chordata; Mammalia; Artiodactyla; Bovidae. The record is from RNAcentral.